CAUGCUGGGAGGGAGUGAAAAAAGCAGUGGUCGUUGCCGGCCCGGAAGGUGUGUGCUGGCAGCUGGCUGCUGACGGGGACGGUCUCAGCCGAGACCAGUCCCUGCUGAGACAGAAAGCAGUGUCUGCCUCUGCCGGAAAGCGCGUAGCCAGGGGCAGCGGUCGGGACUGGAGCGGGGUCCGCGCCGCAGGGACUGGUGCCAGAUGUUGCCAGCAUCCACCAUCAGUCCUGGACCUGCCCAGCUUCUGUCACACAGACCUGGACCCUACUGCUUCUUUCAGCUCUCAUCAGGACACAGUCAGCUCCCAUCACCCAGCUCUGGAGACGGCAAGAACCCAGGCCACAGCCCUUGGCUCCUAGGUGCUCCAAAUGUCCCAGCAUCACAAGCAUGAAGUGUUCUGAAUCAUGCCUCAGUCUUCAUGGGCAGAAUGAUGCCACACUCCACAGUCCAUGGAAUAGCAUCUCUGGCACCACACCACAUACACUGGGGGAGAAACCUCAGACACACCCAAUACUCAAUCUGGGGACACCCCCAGUCCAGCACUCCUGCCACCCACUGAGUUCCGUACCUUACCCUGGGACCCCCACCAAUGCCCAUUUUGGGAUGCCCCCCCCCAUACUCUUUGCUACCUGGUCCUUCUGAACUUUAAUCCUUCCCCAUAGCAUCUAAAGAGAUUUUUGGUGACAGCUGCUGAGGGGUGGCAGUGGGGGGACACCCACCACCUGGCCUGGUGGCUGAGCUCCCAUCAGUUGAUGAUGGACUGCUAUGGAGUCACACUCCUGAAAAUGAAGGUAAAAAGGGGAAUGGCCUUGAUGGGGUCAGAGACAUGGGGGACAUGGUGAUGCCACCGAGCCUGAAGGUGAUUGCUAGCUCCCCCAUGUGUCCCCUUGCUCUCAUAUGGUUUCUCUGGUUCCCUGUGUCCCCGCAAACUUAGCUGGCAUCCCACAUUUCUUAAAGCUCACCUUCAACCCCAUACACUUUCAAGCCUCUUAUAGCCACUGUCAGCCCCGUAGGGUCCCCCUUGUCCCACAUCAGAUCUCCCCCCAGCCUGUUGCAAGCCCUGAUGCCAUCCAUCUGCACAUGGCACCUGUGACAUGCAGAAUCACAAAAUACUCUGAUUUGGAAGGACUUUAUGGAGGAUUGAGCUCUAUGGUGUGUCAGUACCUUAACUGAGGAAGCUUACAGUAGUACACUAGUAAGAUUGGGGAUGAAAGGAUCUCUUAGUGCUUUUCCUUACCAGCUGCUGAGUCUGUUUUCUCUCUCUAUUGGCUUCUCUCAGAUGAUGAGAGGAGUCCUUCCUGCUUGCCCUGCUACCUGCCCUGCCUGGGUGAACCACUGUAUCAACUGGCAUGCUGUGCCCUCACUGCCCUUUCAUGACAUGCCUUGGGUUAUGCACUCCUGUUCACCUGACUCCAGGACACUUGGACUUCCUAAAGCUGUUUAAAUUUCCCUCGGAGGCUCCUUGCACCAGCCUCUCCUCAUCUGGUGCCUGCUGAAGGCUGCCAAGUCCUGUCCACAGUUUGCAGCUGCCAUGUGACAAGUCCAUGAGCCAGAAUGAGACCUGCAUCAGUAUUCUGUUCUGCUAGAAACCAGAUUCCUGCAACCUGGCAACAGUUCCUAUGGGUACGGGCCACCCAGCUGCACCACAGCCUGGGCUGAGGGACUCUGCAGCAGUCCAGGAACUUCCCAGUCCUUGGGAAGGAGGGGCAUGGAAAGGAACCAAAAUCUGCAGGGGUUGGGAGGAAAAAUUCAGAUACUCCUGCUCUGCUCUGCCUGGAGAUAUGUGAAGACCGGUAUGAACAGGAUUAUGCUGGUUUGAAAGCAAACCAGUGGGGGAUCCUAAAUCAGAAAUACAGUAUAAUAGGAAAAGUUAAAUGAAAUGCAGUAGUACAAGCCACUGAUUCCCCUUCUGUUUGAACUAUGAACACUGCCUUGAUAGCUUUGUUAACUUUUUGUCUGAUAUACCAAUAUCAGAUAAGGUACAAAUAUUAUUAUUAUG
Catharus ustulatus (Swainson's thrush) is the source of this 1999-nucleotide long non-coding RNA. RefSeq lists it as uncharacterized. NCBI's taxonomy places the organism in Eukaryota, Metazoa, Chordata, Aves, Passeriformes, Turdidae. The transcript has 3 exons. The record is from RefSeq and is a predicted model, not a curated record.